Molecule: long non-coding RNA, 261 nt
Organism: Grammomys surdaster
Lineage: Eukaryota; Metazoa; Chordata; Mammalia; Rodentia; Muridae
Exons: 2
Source: RefSeq, a predicted model, not a curated record
GCUGGAUCUGCAGAGAAAUGAACUAAGCAGAUGGAGAUGAAAUUGGAGAAGAGGUCCAGGUACCUGGUGGUGAAGACCAAAGCGAAAAGAAUCUGGCUCUUCCCAGAGAUGCCUGUGCAGAACAAACAAGAAGCCAUGAGAACAUAACCUUCAGUGUAGCCAGCCAGGAGCAGCUAUCUCUGCCCUCCCCAGCCCUAAGUCACUGGAGUCCCUGUGCCUCUUUGUUGAGCUAUGAUCUGUCUCCAAAUAAAGAUUCGAACA